GACGAACGCUGGCGGCGUGCUUAACACAUGCAAGUCGAACGGAAAGGCCCUGCUUUUGUGGGGUGCUCGAGUGGCGAACGGGUGAGUAACACGUGAGUAACCUGCCCUUGACUUUGGGAUAACUUCAGGAAACUGGGGCUAAUACCGGAUAGGAGCUCCUGCUGCAUGGUGGGGGUUGGAAAGUUUCGGCGGUUGGGGAUGGACUCGCGGCUUAUCAGAUUGUUGGUGGGGUAGUGGCUUACCAAGGCUUUGACGGGUAGCCGGCCUGAGAGGGUGACCGGCCACAUUGGGACUGAGAUACGGCCCAGACUGCUACGGGAGGCAGCAGUGGGGAAUAUUGCACAAUGGGCGGAAGCCUGAUGCAGCAACGCCGCGUGCGGGAUGACGGCCUUCGGGUUGUAAACCGCUUUCGCCUGUGACGAAGCGUGAGUGACGGUAAUGGGUAAAGAAGCACCGGCUAACUACGUG
This 468-nucleotide ribosomal RNA is filed under the name uncultured bacterium. RNAcentral describes it as "partial 16S ribosomal RNA". It matches the Rfam family "Bacterial small subunit ribosomal RNA", at positions 28 to 507 of the family's 1533-position model. The record is from RNAcentral.